GGAGAGCUCCUUGAUAGGCUGACUACAUUGCAGAUUUUCAACAGACAGAUUUCAUGCACCAUCCUCUAACAUACCUAAUCCUAGUUUCUAGCAGAAACAGGAUGCUGUGUCCAAGGCAGUGGCACAGAUCAGGCAGAGUUAUACUCCUAAAGACCUAUGAUCGGCUUAUUUGUGACAACAUGGUAAACAAGAGUUGGACAGCUUUCACCCUUCUUUGUUCAUUCUAAGAUGAGCCAUCUUCUCCAGCCUUCUUCAAACCACCAAGAAGCAACUCAAAGUUUGUCUGAAAUCCAGAUGGAAGAUUACAAAAUCUACAUAUCUUAAAUGAGAUGGAUGAGUAAUGCAGCUUACUUGUCUAAAUCACUCAGCAAUCCAAAUUACAUGCCACAUGGUACUCUUUA
Molecule: long non-coding RNA, 401 nt
Organism: Passer domesticus (house sparrow)
Lineage: Eukaryota; Metazoa; Chordata; Aves; Passeriformes; Passeridae
Exons: 3
Source: RefSeq, a predicted model, not a curated record